GAUGAACGCUGGCGGCGUGCCUAAUACAUGCAAGUCGAACGGACGGACGAGAAGCGUGCGCCCCUGCUGUUAGCGGCGGACGGGUGAGUAACGCGUGGAUAACCUUCCUAUAUGACGGGGAUAACUACGGGAGACCGGAGACACUAACGGCUCAUAUUUUGAACGGCAGGGAGCAAAAGAGAAUGACGGCUUUGCUGACACUAAUAGACGGUGCCGGGCUGGCUUAGCUAGUUGGUAAGGUAACGGCCUACCAAGGCAACGAUGCAUAGCCGACCUGAGAGGGUGAUCGGCCACACUGGAACUGAGACACGGUCCAGACUCCUACGGGAGGCAGCAGUAGGGAAUCUUCCGCAAAGGGCGCAAGCCUGACGGAGCAACGCCGCGUGAGUGAUGAAGGUCUUCGGAUCGUAAAGCUCUGUUAUUAGGGAAGAACAGAUGUGUGAGUAACUGUGCACAUCUUGACGGUACCUAAUCAGAAAGCCACGGCUAACUACGUG
Molecule: ribosomal RNA, 497 nt
Filed under: uncultured bacterium
Lineage: Bacteria
Description: partial 16S ribosomal RNA
Rfam family: Bacterial small subunit ribosomal RNA
Source: RNAcentral